GUAGGGAAUAUUGGGCAAUGGGCGGAAGCCCGACCCAGCCAUGCCGCGUGCAGGAUGAAGGCCUUCUGGGUUGUAAACUGCUUUUAUCGGGGAAGAAAACACCCAUGCGUGGGGAACUGACGGUACCUGAGGAAUAAGCACCGGCUAACUCCGUGCCAGCAGCCGCGGUAAUACGGAGGGUGCAAGCGUCGUCCGGAUUUAUUGGGUUUAAAGGGUGCGUAGGCGGCCUUUUAAGUCAGUGGUGAAAGCCCGGGGCUCAACCCCGGAACUGCCAUUGAUACUGGAAGGCUUGAGUACAGACGAGGUAGGCGGAAUUGAGGGUGUAGCGGUGAAAUGCUUAGAUACCCUCAAGAACACCGAUUGCGUAGGCAGCUUACUAGGCUGUAACUGACGCUGAGGCACGAAAGCGUGGGGAGCGAACAGGAUUAGAUACCCUGGUAGUCCACGCCGUAAACGAUGAUUACUCGAUGUCGGCGACAGACCGUCGGCGUCUUAGCGAAAGCGUUAAGUAAUCCACCUGGGGAGUACGCCCGCAAGGG
This 539-nucleotide ribosomal RNA is filed under the name uncultured bacterium. RNAcentral describes it as "bacterial SSU rRNA". It matches the Rfam family "Bacterial small subunit ribosomal RNA", at positions 354 to 894 of the family's 1533-position model. The record is from RNAcentral.